GAUGAACGCUGGCGGCGUGCCUAAUACAUGCAAGUCGAGCGGACAGACGAGUAGCUGGCUCCUCUGACGAUAGCGGCGGACGGGAGAGUAACACGUGGAUAACCUACCUAUAUUACUGGGAUAACUUCGGGAAACCGGAGCUAAUACCGGAUAAUAUAUGGUACCGCAUGGUUCAGUAAUGAUAGACGGUUUUGCUAUCACCUCUCGAUCGAUCCGCGCCGCAUUAGCUAGUUGGUAAGGUAACGGCUUAGCAGGGAACCGAUGCGUAGCCGAACUGGGCGGGUGAUCGGCGACACUGGAACUUAUACACGGUCCAUGGUCCUACGGGAGGGAGCAGUAGGGUAUCUGCGGCAGUGGUCGAAAGCCUUACGGAGCAACGCCGCGUGAGUUAUGAAGGUCCUCGGAUCGUAAAACUCUGUUAUGAGGUAAGAACAAAUUUGUAAGUAACCAUGCACGUCUUGACGGUACCUAAUCAGAAAGCCACGGCUAACUACGUG
This 497-nucleotide ribosomal RNA is filed under the name uncultured bacterium. Its description in RNAcentral is "partial 16S ribosomal RNA". It matches the Rfam family "Bacterial small subunit ribosomal RNA", at positions 28 to 507 of the family's 1533-position model. The record is from RNAcentral.